Molecule: ribosomal RNA, 253 nt
Filed under: uncultured bacterium
Lineage: Bacteria
Description: partial 16S ribosomal RNA
Rfam family: Bacterial small subunit ribosomal RNA
Source: RNAcentral
UACGUAGGGGGCUAGCGUUGUCCGGAUUUAUUGGGCGUAAAGAGCGUGUAGGCGGCCAGGUAGGUCUGCUGUGAAAACUCGAGGCUCAACCUCGAGACGUCGGCGGAAACCAUCUGGCUAGAGUCCGGAAGAGGAGAGUGGAAUUCCCGGUGUAGCGGUGAAAUGCGCAGAUAUCGGGAAGAACACCCGUGGCUAAGGCGGCUCUCUAGUACGGUACUGACGCUGAGACGCGAAAGCGUGGGGAGCGAACAGG